UACGUAGUACUGCGGAGGGAUCAUUACACAAUAAAAUAUGAAGGCUGUACGCGGCUGUGCUCUCGGGCCAGUUUUGCGGAGGCUGAAUUAUUUAUUACCCUUGUCUUUUGCGCACUUGUUGUUUCCUGGGCGGGUUCGCCCGCCACCAGGACCACAUCAUAAACCUUUUUUAUGCAGUUGCAAUCAGCGUCAGUAUAACAAAUGUAAAUCAUUUACAACUUUCAACAACGGAUCUCUUGGUUCUGGCAUCGAUGAAGAACGCAGCGAAAUGCGAUACGUAGUGUGAAUUGCAGAAUUCAGUGAAUCAUCGAAUCUUUGAACGCACAUUGCGCCCUUUGGUAUUCCAAAGGGCAUGCCUGUUCGAGCGUCAUUUGUACCCUCAAGCUUUGCUUGGUGUUGGGCGUUUUUUGUCUUUGGUUGCCAAAGACUCGCCUUAAAAGGAUUGGCAGCCGGCCUACUGGUUUCGCAGCGCAGCACAUUUUUGCGCUUGCAAUCAGCAAAAGAGGACGGCAAUCCAUCAAGACUCCUUCUCACGUUUGACCUCGGAUCAGGUAGGGAUACCCGCUGAACUUAAGCAUAUCAAA
RNAcentral lists this ribosomal RNA (584 nucleotides) under Curvularia lunata. Its description in RNAcentral is "eukaryotic LSU rRNA". The stretch from base 217 to 370 matches the Rfam family "5.8S ribosomal RNA". Lineage: Eukaryota; Fungi; Ascomycota; Dothideomycetes; Pleosporales; Pleosporaceae. The record is from RNAcentral.